UACGGAAGGUCCGGGCGUUAUCCGGAUUUAUUGGGUUUAAAGGGAGCGUAGGCCGGAGAUUAAGCGUGUUGUGAAAUGUAGAUGCUCAACAUCUGCACUGCAGCGCGAACUGGUUUCCUUGAGUACGCACAAAGUGGGCGGAAUUCGUGGUGUAGCGGUGAAAUGCUUAGAUAUCACGAAGAACUCCGAUUGCGAAGGCAGCUCACUGGAGCGCAACUGACGCUGAAGCUCGAAAGUGCGGGUAUCGAACAGGAUUAGAUACCCCAGUGACUGACU
RNAcentral lists this ribosomal RNA (276 nucleotides) under Segatella copri DSM 18205. RNAcentral describes it as "Prevotella copri DSM 18205 partial 16S ribosomal RNA". It matches the Rfam family "Bacterial small subunit ribosomal RNA", at positions 524 to 796 of the family's 1533-position model. The record is from RNAcentral. Lineage: Bacteria; Pseudomonadati; Bacteroidota; Bacteroidia; Bacteroidales; Prevotellaceae.